GUACUGAUAAAAGGUGAAAUUAAUUUUUUAGUAUGUGGAAGUAUAAAAUAUAAAGUUUAAAUUGAAGCUAUUAAGAUAAAGGAAUGAACCAGGAUUAGAUACCCUGUUACACUUUAUUUAAAUGAUAAUUACCUGGGUACUAAGCAGUUAUUAUCUUGAAACUCAAAGGAUUUGGCGGUAACUUAGUCUAUUUAGAGGAACCUGUCCUGUAAUCGAUAGUCCACGCAAUAUUUUACUUUAUCUUGUAGAAAACAGUUUGUAUACCGUCAUUAUUAGAUAACUUUAAAAAAAUAUAGAGUUGUUGUAAUAGUCUAGCUAGUAAAUUAGAUCAAGGUGCAGCUUAUGGUAAAGUAGAGAUGGGUUACAAUAUAAUAAAUAUAAACGGAGCAAUAAAUGAAGAUUGAUUGUGAAGGUGGAUUUAAGAGUAAAAAGAUUUUAGCAAGAUCUUUUGACUUUAGCUCUAGGUUAUGUACACAUCGCCCGUCGCUCUCGUUAAUUAAAGC
Molecule: ribosomal RNA, 503 nt
Filed under: Penaeus latisulcatus
Lineage: Eukaryota; Metazoa; Arthropoda; Malacostraca; Decapoda; Penaeidae
Description: partial 12S ribosomal RNA
Rfam family: Microsporidia small subunit ribosomal RNA (bases 135-503)
Source: RNAcentral